This is a long non-coding RNA of Phyllostomus discolor (pale spear-nosed bat), 802 nucleotides long. RefSeq lists it as uncharacterized. The record is from RefSeq and is a predicted model, not a curated record. NCBI's taxonomy places the organism in Eukaryota, Metazoa, Chordata, Mammalia, Chiroptera, Phyllostomidae. The transcript is spliced from 2 exons.
GGUAUCUCAUUGUGAUUUUAAUAUGCAUUUCCUAAUUGCUAGUGACACUGAAUGUCUUUAGGUGGAGUUAUUUGACAUUAGACAAGAAUUGUAAUGCAGCUAUUAUGAACAGGAAGGAAUGAAAAUCACCAGAAAUCGUGAAUACACAUGUGGUAGGCAGAAUAAUAGACUAUUAAUGGUGUCCAUGGCCUAAUCUCCAGAAUCUGUGAAUAUAAUAGGUUACAUGGCAAAGGAAAAUUAAAAUAGCUAAUCAGCUGACCUUGAGAUGGAGAGAUUAUCCUGGAUUAUCUGGCCCAAUGUAAUCGCAGGUGUCCUUAUAAGUGGACCAGGAAGGCAACAAAGGCAGUGUCAGAGAGGAGAUGGCCUCCAGAAGCUGGAAAAUGCAAGGAAAUAGACUCUCCCAGAGAGCCUCCAGGAAAGAAUGCAACCUGCUUGCACCUUGAUUUUGGCCUAAUGAGACCCAUUUAAGACCCCUGACCUCCAAAAUUGUUAGGAUCAGGCUAUCGCCACCUGCAAAGGCAGGAGCCUGGCACCUGAAACGCCCAGUGGAAGACAGCUGUCCAGCCAGCACACCUGAGCUCCUGUGUAAGUAAAAAAUAAAUCUUUCUGUGUGCGAAAUCACUGAAAUAUGGGGCAAUUCAUUAUAGAAGUUAGCUUAUUAUAAAAGUAUACCAUUUAUAUAUAUUAGAAAACAUAAGCACAUAAUUAUAUAUAUUUAAAGACACAUACAUUACAUAGACAUAUUGAACACAUUAGAGUGUAUGCCUAGGUCUGGGAGAGGAAUAAGGAUUUGGGAUGAAAA